ACCGCGAUAACUCCGCCCCCGCCUCCUCGCUCCUCCCCCGCUGCCAUAGCCCGCCGCCUCCUCGCUCCUCCUCGCCGCCCGCCCCACGAAUCCCCGCGCCUCCUAGCUUCUCCUCCGCGCCCGCGAAUCCCCGCCGCCUCCUCGCUCCGCGCGCAUCCUCCCUCCUCGCGACGGGGCAGCGAGGUCGUCCCCUUCCGCUGCCACCCCCGCUGCCCACGCCGGAGACGAGGUCGUCCCCAGCCACCGCCGGAGCCGUGGUCUUCCCCGGAGCCGACGUCGUCCCCAGUUGCCGCCGGAGCCGAGUUCUUCCCCAUCCGCAUUGGAUCUGAAUGCACCACAUAUCUUCCCCUCUGGAAAUUAUUAUUUUUGGAUGAAAUUGACGGAAUACCAAUGGCUAUUGCAACAAGUCCCUUCAGCGACAUCUGGAAACCUAGGAUCUCACCUACAAAAAUAGGAAUCCAGGAGUUGGAGCCAUUCGAACAUGCAGCAUGUCUCUUGCUAAUGUCUUCCUGAGCUUUCAAAUCAUAAGGCCCUUGCCUCACUGAUCAAAAUAUUCAGGUCACUAGAGGUUCUAAUUUGCUUGCAAUCCUUAUGGUUUCCACUCAUCACAGUGAUAAGGCACCAUAUUCUUAUGGCCAGUGCUUCUAUGUUCUGAGCUUACUGGUAUCCAUAUUUUUAAGCACUCUAUUUCUUUGCUCUGGUUUCUUUUUUUGCAACCAGUUUCUGAUGGAACAUUUCUUAUGGCUAGAAAUUGUCACGUAAUCUUCAAUGCGCUCUAGAAAUUUCAGAUUGAGCUAUUUGAAUUUUGCUAUGUUAAUUUGAAUAAUACAGUAUUCCAAAGCGGCAGUGGAUCAUUAUAACCAACUACCACAAACUAUUCAAUUGCAGAAUUUCUGCAUUCCAAUUUUUGCAUUUCUCAAUUUAAUCAUGUAUUUUGGUUUGAGUAAUUGCAAAGUAAAAUUGAUUUUGUAAUUGUAAAAAUGAAUGAAUUUUCUGGACAACAUUUAAUGUGAUUUUAUCAAAACACAAUGAACCUUUUAAUUUGUCCGUAUAGUUCUGUUUUCUUUUAUUUUCAAAAGUAAGAUCCUCAGUAUAAGCUUUUGUUUGUGGAUCUCUUAAUAAUGAAUAUUGGGGGUCCAAUCCUCUCUUGCUCCACCGUUGGACCAGUAGUAGCAGCAGGUUGGAAGCUGGUGAACACGAUCUCAGGGAAGGACACAAUGGCGGCUUCGUACGAUCUCACAUAUGACAAUUCUAUCAUUGCCUUAGAUUUUACCAACCAAAGAUGCAAGGGGUACUCAUUCUUUUGAUUUUGUCCAGAUGGACAGCUCCAGUCCAUAACAUUCUAUCUACACAGUCAACGACUCAGUUAAUAAUAAAACUGAAAAAAUGUUCUCUUUUAUUUUUAAAUAAGAUUUUCACACAACCUGAAAGUAAGAUAUCAAAGGAGCACUGGCCUGAUAUAAAUGAUUUUUUUUCUGACGAAUGUGGACUACCAAUGUAAUGCACAUGCCUAAGAUAUUUAAGGUUUUCUUUUUUCUGCAGUACUUAAAGACUUGUAUUUUGUAAUAUUGUAGGUUAAAUCUCAACUUCUGAUGUAUCUCAAGUGUAAAUAUGGUCAUUGUCAUAUUGCUAAUAUUUUGGAUUUAAUCAAAUAAAUGAUGACCAUUGCUGCCC
This 1674-nucleotide long non-coding RNA is filed under the name Oryza sativa tropical japonica subgroup. RNAcentral describes it as "lncRNA OsKeNa_04g0012090". Lineage: Eukaryota; Viridiplantae; Streptophyta; Magnoliopsida; Poales; Poaceae. The record is from RNAcentral.